CCAUCAUAUAAUAUAUGUUAUUAUUUAUAUUACAAAAGAAAUAAAAUGAGAAACUCUUAUUCUUCAUCUUCAUCCCAUGCUGUGUUCUUGAUGCUCCUCCUUCUCCUUGCCAUGAGGGAGAUGGCGAGGCCAUGUGAGGGGAGGACAUGCCAGUCGAAGAGCCAUCGGUUCCAUGGACCAUGCAUUAAUGACCACAACUGUGCAGAGACUUGUCGAAACGAAGCCUAUACCGGUGGCCACUGCGAAGGAUUUCGCCGUCGCUGUUUCUGCACUAAAGCCUGUUAGCUAGCUGUCUUGAAUGUCAAUGUCAAUGCAAAUAUCGAUGCAACUUUUUUAUGAAAAUCUAUAUAAAAUAUAUCAUAUUUCUCACCGUUGAGGAUGAGAAUAUAGUAUCACCCCCUUUUAAUUCCCACAUUCCCUACUUCUCACCCUUAUGUCGGAGGAAGGUUAAAUUAUAAAAUUAUAAAUUUCGUCAACUUCCUUUUAAUAAA
This is a long non-coding RNA of Momordica charantia (bitter melon), 491 nucleotides long. RefSeq lists it as uncharacterized. The record is from RefSeq and is a predicted model, not a curated record. NCBI's taxonomy places the organism in Eukaryota, Viridiplantae, Streptophyta, Magnoliopsida, Cucurbitales, Cucurbitaceae.